CAGUCGCCACGGUAAAACGGAGGGUGCAAGCGUUACUCGGAAUCACUGGGCGUAAAGGACGCGUAGGCGGAUUAUCAAGUCUUUUGUGAAAUCUAACGGCUUAACCGUUAAGCUGCUUGGGAAACUGAUAAUCUAGAGUAAGGGAGAGGCAGAUGGAAUUCUUGGUGUAGGGGUAAAAUCCGUAGAUAUCAAGAAGAAUACCUAUUGCGAAGGCAAUCUGCUGGAACUUAACUGACGCUAAUGCGUGAAAGCGUGGGUAGCAAACAGGAUUAGAGACCCCCGUAGUCCCUGUCUCUUAUAC
Molecule: ribosomal RNA, 301 nt
Filed under: uncultured bacterium
Lineage: Bacteria
Description: partial 16S ribosomal RNA
Rfam family: Bacterial small subunit ribosomal RNA
Source: RNAcentral